Molecule: ribosomal RNA, 468 nt
Filed under: uncultured bacterium
Lineage: Bacteria
Description: partial 16S ribosomal RNA
Rfam family: Bacterial small subunit ribosomal RNA
Source: RNAcentral
GACGAACGCUGGCGGCGUGCUUAACACAUGCAAGUCGAACGGGAAGGCCCUGCUUUUGUGGGGUGCUCGAGUGGCGAACGGGUGAGUAACACGUGAGUAACCUGCCCUUGACUUUGGGAUAACUUCAGGAAACUGGGGCUAAUACCGGAUAGGAGCUCCUGCUGCAUGGUGGGGGUUGGAAAGUUUCGGCGGUUGGGGAUGGACUCGCGGCUUAUCAGCUUGUUGGUGGGGUAGUGGCUUACCAAGGCUUUGACGGGUAGCCGGCCUGAGAGGGUGACCGGCCACAUUGGGACUGAGAUACGGCCCAGACUCCUACGGGAGGCAGCAGUGGGGAAUAUUGCACAAUGGGCGGAAGCCUGAUGCAGCAACGCCGCGUGCGGGAUGACGGCCUUCGGGUUGUAAACCGCUUUCGCCUGUGACGAAGCGUGAGUGACGGUGAUGGGUAAAGAAGCACCGGCUAACUACGUG